AUUGAACGCUGGCGGCAUGCUUUACACAUGCAAGUCGAACGGUAACAGGCCUUCGGGUGCUGACGAGUGGCGAACGGGUGCGUAAUGCAUCGGAACGUACCCAGAGGUGGGGGAUAACGCAGCGAAAGCUGUGCUAAUACCGCAUGUGAUCUGAGGAUGAAAGCGGGGGACCGAGCAGCAAUGUUUGGCCUCGCGCCUUUGGAGCGGCCGAUGUCGGAUUAGCUAGUUGGUGGGGUAAAGGCCUACCAAGGCGACGAUCCGUAGCUGGUCUGAGAGGACGACCAGCCACACUGGAACUGAGACACGGCCCAGACUCCUACGGGAGGCAGCAAUGGGGAAUUUUGGACAAUGGGCGCAAGCCUGAUCCAGCAAUGCCGCGUGCGGGAAGAAGGCCUUCGGGUUGUAAACCGCUUUUGGCAGGAACGAAACGGUGUCCGCUAAUACCGGGCGCUAAUGACGGUACCUGCAGAAUAAGCACCGGCUAACUACGUG
RNAcentral lists this ribosomal RNA (492 nucleotides) under uncultured bacterium. Its description in RNAcentral is "partial 16S ribosomal RNA". It matches the Rfam family "Bacterial small subunit ribosomal RNA", at positions 30 to 507 of the family's 1533-position model. The record is from RNAcentral.